This is a long non-coding RNA of Astatotilapia calliptera (eastern happy), 1486 nucleotides long. NCBI's taxonomy places the organism in Eukaryota, Metazoa, Chordata, Actinopteri, Cichliformes, Cichlidae. The record is from Ensembl.
CAAAUGUUGCUUUAGGCUUCAGUUGACAUAUAGCAUUGUAUGAUUUUACAAUCAAAUCGGGAUUUAAGACAGCAACCUUUCUCUAAAAUUACAAAGAAACACGCCAUUGACCUUCAUUUGUGUUUUAGUUUAGCAGCCUCAGCCUCACUGCUCACAGAUAAAAGGGAGAUGUGCAAAAGUCGGUGGCUGCCCCACCCUAUCUUUUGUCCACAAAAAAAGGAGACAGGAUUAGAGAGAUUAGUGCUGACUCUUUUCCUACAACCCCAGCCAGUCACCAUCUCUAACUUAAAGCACACACUGGUAUGUGCACACAAAACAUGUUAUGAUAUGUUGGAGGCGGCAAACAUGCAUUUAUAUGUUUUGGGAAUAGUACACUGUGCACUUACACGCGUUCCUCGUCAGCAGUUUAAAGUUAGCCUCACUGCAGUUAGCAGUGAGCGACUGGUUUAAUCAGAUGUUGUUUUGCCUGCUACGAUAAUCUAUGUCAAGGAGGUCUGGGAGAGUGCAAGAUGAGGAUUAUAGUUUCCACUCAAGUCAGAGCACAAGCUCUUAGAAACCUUACACGUCACUCCUACCAACGCCUUUACUUCAUAACAACACAGCUCUGAAGCCAACAGCGACUGAAGAAAUCACUGAAAACAGUAGAAGAUUAUGCGAAUGGAGCCGGUGUUGUGCCAAAAAGUGAUUGCCUGCCAAAAAGUGAUUUCCAAUGUUUCCGUGUAUUUUUUAUGUGUAAUAUCUUUACGUAUGUUGGUAAAUAGACUUCGGUGAACAGCGUUUACAAAGGGGUUAUAUAUAGAAUUAAAAGAUUAUCUGUUUUUUCAAGUAUCUUUAUAACUCUGUGUUAUUGUACUCACAUUAUAACCAAUCCGGUCCUUUUUCCCCACUUACAAUAUUUUUACAGAACUAUUGUAAUAUUUGCUGCCAUUUCUGCUGUCUUACUCUUACAAAAGACAUUUUUAAUGUUAAUGAGUUUUUUUUUAACUGCAUAAAUAAAGGUUCUAUAAAAGUCGCUGCCAAAAACUGAUUGCGGCUUCUACCUUGUUACACGAAUGUUGUUUGUGGCUCAAUAUGACUUUGUGUCAUCCAUGAGGGAUGCAUUUGACAUAUGUUUCACAUAUUAUAGGCCAACAAGUUACUUAUAGCAGUUUAAAUACGAGCAAUCAGUUUUUGGCAAAUACCGGAAAUCAGUUUUUGGCAGACAAUCACUUUUUGGCACAACACCGGCUUUACUAUCAACAACGCUUCAAUAUAGAUUGUAAACUGAAGAGAGGGGUCCCCCAUUUUUAAUCAUGCUGUUUGCUACCCUGUUAUUGCUAAAAUGUGAAAGGUGGUUUGUUAAAUUGCAAUAUUUUUAAAGAAAUUAAAGUUAACUAUUUUUUUUAGCAGUAAUUACAGAAAACCUAAAUUUAUGCUAUGCAGUAAAUUGUAUGAGGAACAAUUACAAGUAUGUAAAAAAUCUCCUAAGAGUGACAUUAAAUUCGAG